AACGAACGCUGGCGGCAUGCCUAACACAUGCAAGUCGAACGAGAUCUUCGGGUCUAGUGGCGCACGGGUGCGUAACGCGUGGGAAUCUGCCCUUUGGUUCGGAAUAACAGUUGGAAACGACUGCUAAUACCGGAUGAUGACGAAAGUCCCAAGAUUUAUCGCCAGAGGAUGAGCCCGCGUAGGAUUAGCUAGUUAGUGUGGUAAAGGCGCACCAAGGCGACGAUCCUUAGCUGGUCUGAGAGGAUGAUCAGCCACACUGGGACUGAGACACGGCCCAGACUCCUACGGGAGGCAGCAGUGGGGAAUAUUGGACAAUGGGCGAAAGCCUGAUCCAGCAGUGCCGCGUGAGUGAUGAAGGCCUUAGGGUUGUAAAGCUCUUUUACCCGGGAUGAUAAUGACAGUACCGGGAGAAUAAGCUCCGGCUAACUCCGUGCCAGCCGCCGCGGUAA
RNAcentral lists this ribosomal RNA (449 nucleotides) under uncultured bacterium. RNAcentral's name for it is "partial 16S ribosomal RNA". It matches the Rfam family "Bacterial small subunit ribosomal RNA", at positions 29 to 523 of the family's 1533-position model. The record is from RNAcentral.